UUUAACGUCGUCAGCUUGACGAUUCAAACUUUAUAUGUUAGAGGUAGGAACUGGAGGGUCGGUCAGAGUUUGGUCAUGACAUUCUAUGGGUAUGUCACCUCCUUGGUAUUGCUUCAAUCUUUGUUCGUUUACCACGAAUGGAUUAUGGGAGUUGUUUCGGAUUUCAACUGCUCCAGAUUUCAGGAUUUUGGACACCUCAAAGGGGCCUGUCC
Molecule: long non-coding RNA, 212 nt
Filed under: Lathyrus oleraceus (garden pea)
Lineage: Eukaryota; Viridiplantae; Streptophyta; Magnoliopsida; Fabales; Fabaceae
Description: Pisum sativum (pea) long non-coding RNA (PSAT_LNC013900)
Source: RNAcentral